ACGAGUUAGGGUCUCUCCAGGCCCGACCUCCCAACCCUUUGUUUACCGAACCUCUGUUGCUUCGGCGGACCCGUCUCACGACCGCCGGGGGACCGCCGACAAGGCGUCCUCUGGCCAGCGUCCGUCGAUAGCCAAAACAUUUAAACCCUGAAUAAAUCGUGUCUUGUGUCUGAGUCUAUGAUUAAAUCAAAAACA
RNAcentral lists this unclassified non-coding RNA (195 nucleotides) under uncultured fungus. RNAcentral's name for it is "sequence contains ITS1, 5.8S rRNA gene". The record is from RNAcentral. Lineage: Eukaryota; Fungi. RNAcentral also lists the same sequence under 1 other name.